Molecule: ribosomal RNA, 1533 nt
Filed under: Klebsiella pneumoniae
Lineage: Bacteria; Pseudomonadati; Pseudomonadota; Gammaproteobacteria; Enterobacterales; Enterobacteriaceae
Description: bacterial SSU rRNA
Rfam family: Bacterial small subunit ribosomal RNA
Source: RNAcentral
UUGAAGAGUUUGAUCAUGGCUCAGAUUGAACGCUGGCGGCAGGCCUAACACAUGCAAGUCGAGCGGUAGCACAGAGAGCUUGCUCUCGGGUGACGAGCGGCGGACGGGUGAGUAAUGUCUGGGAAACUGCCUGAUGGAGGGGGAUAACUACUGGAAACGGUAGCUAAUACCGCAUAACGUCGCAAGACCAAAGUGGGGGACCUUCGGGCCUCAUGCCAUCAGAUGUGCCCAGAUGGGAUUAGCUAGUAGGUGGGGUAACGGCUCACCUAGGCGACGAUCCCUAGCUGGUCUGAGAGGAUGACCAGCCACACUGGAACUGAGACACGGUCCAGACUCCUACGGGAGGCAGCAGUGGGGAAUAUUGCACAAUGGGCGCAAGCCUGAUGCAGCCAUGCCGCGUGUGUGAAGAAGGCCUUCGGGUUGUAAAGCACUUUCAGCGGGGAGGAAGGCGUUAAGGUUAAUAACCUCAUCGAUUGACGUUACCCGCAGAAGAAGCACCGGCUAACUCCGUGCCAGCAGCCGCGGUAAUACGGAGGGUGCAAGCGUUAAUCGGAAUUACUGGGCGUAAAGCGCACGCAGGCGGUCUGUCAAGUCGGAUGUGAAAUCCCCGGGCUCAACCUGGGAACUGCAUUCGAAACUGGCAGGCUAGAGUCUUGUAGAGGGGGGUAGAAUUCCAGGUGUAGCGGUGAAAUGCGUAGAGAUCUGGAGGAAUACCGGUGGCGAAGGCGGCCCCCUGGACAAAGACUGACGCUCAGGUGCGAAAGCGUGGGGAGCAAACAGGAUUAGAUACCCUGGUAGUCCACGCCGUAAACGAUGUCGAUUUGGAGGUUGUGCCCUUGAGGCGUGGCUUCCGGAGCUAACGCGUUAAAUCGACCGCCUGGGGAGUACGGCCGCAAGGUUAAAACUCAAAUGAAUUGACGGGGGCCCGCACAAGCGGUGGAGCAUGUGGUUUAAUUCGAUGCAACGCGAAGAACCUUACCUGGUCUUGACAUCCACAGAACUUAGCAGAGAUGCUUUGGUGCCUUCGGGAACUGUGAGACAGGUGCUGCAUGGCUGUCGUCAGCUCGUGUUGUGAAAUGUUGGGUUAAGUCCCGCAACGAGCGCAACCCUUAUCCUUUGUUGCCAGCGGUCCGGCCGGGAACUCAAAGGAGACUGCCAGUGAUAAACUGGAGGAAGGUGGGGAUGACGUCAAGUCAUCAUGGCCCUUACGACCGGGCUACACGUGCUACAAUGGCAUAUACAAAGAGAAGCGACCUCGCGAGAGCAAGCGGACCUCAUAAAGUAUGUCGUAGUCCGGAUUGGAGUCUGCAACUCGACUCCAUGAAGUCGGAAUCGCUAGUAAUCGUAGAUCAGAAUGCUACGGUGAAUACGUUCCCGGGCCUUGUACACACCGCCCGUCACACCAUGGGAGUGGGUUGCAAAAGAAGUAGGUAGCUUAACCUUCGGGAGGGCGCUUACCACUUUGUGAUUCAUGACUGGGGUGAAGUCGUAACAAGGUAACCGUAGGGGAACCUGCGGUUGGAUCACCUCCUU